This 459-nucleotide ribosomal RNA is filed under the name Triticum aestivum (bread wheat). RNAcentral describes it as "partial small subunit ribosomal RNA". The record is from RNAcentral. Lineage: Eukaryota; Viridiplantae; Streptophyta; Magnoliopsida; Poales; Poaceae.
AUGGACUACAUUGGCGUGGAGGAGAUACCUAAAUGGCACAUCUUAAAAAGGUGGACAAAAGAUGCUAGAGACAUCUUGCCACAACACAUUGCUCAUUUCCAAAAAGACCAGGCUGCUAAUCAAUCAUUUACCUGUCGGAGUUCGACUCUGUACCUGCAUUCUAUGGAACUGGUGAGGAUUGGAGACUCGUCAGUCGCGGCAUACGAGCUGGUACUAGGGAAGAUCAAAGACCUAAUACUGGAGGCAUCUCCUUUGGGUGAAAACAUAGAUGGACUAGGGAUUGAGGAUAGGAUAGCUGUAGAAGCAAGCAGAAAGAAAAACAUUGAUGCGGAAAUGGUUGACAAUGAGAACAACAUGACCAUGUCUGGCAAUUGGGAUGCGCUCGCUGGACUGUCAGCUCCAACCAAAAAAACAUGGCGUUGGGAGACCAAGCUCGAGCAGAGAGAAAGCACCAUAUGA